UACGUAGGGUGCAAGCGUUAAUCGGAAUUACUGGGCGUAAAGCGUGCGUAGACGGUUAUCUAAGUCGGAUGUGAAAGCCCCGGGCUCAACCUGGGAAUUGCAUUCGAGACUGAAUAGCUAGGGUACGGUAGAGGGAAGUGGAAUUUCCGGUGUAGCGGUGAAAUGCGUAGAUAUCGGAAGGAACAUCAGUGGCGAAAGCGACUUCCUGGACCAGUACCGACGUUCAGGCACGAAAGCGUGGGGAGCAAACAGG
This 253-nucleotide ribosomal RNA is filed under the name uncultured bacterium. Its description in RNAcentral is "partial 16S ribosomal RNA". It matches the Rfam family "Bacterial small subunit ribosomal RNA", at positions 524 to 776 of the family's 1533-position model. The record is from RNAcentral.